UACGAAGGGGGCUAGCGUUGCUCGGCAUCACUGGGUGUAAAGCGCACGUAGGCGGCUUCUUAAGUCAGGGGUGAAAUCCUGGGGCUCAACCCCAGAACUGCCCUUGAUACUGAGGAGCUUGAGUCCGGGAGAGGUGAGUGGAACUCCGAGUGUAGAGGUGAAAUUCGUAGAUAUUCGGAAGAACACCAGUGGCGAAGGCGGCUCACUGGCCCGGUACUGGCGCUGAGGUGCGAAAGCGUGGGGAGCAAACAGG
This 253-nucleotide ribosomal RNA is filed under the name uncultured bacterium. RNAcentral's name for it is "partial 16S ribosomal RNA". It matches the Rfam family "Bacterial small subunit ribosomal RNA", at positions 524 to 776 of the family's 1533-position model. The record is from RNAcentral.